Molecule: non-coding RNA, 281 nt
Filed under: Triticum aestivum (bread wheat)
Lineage: Eukaryota; Viridiplantae; Streptophyta; Magnoliopsida; Poales; Poaceae
Description: Bacterial small subunit ribosomal RNA
Rfam family: Bacterial small subunit ribosomal RNA
Source: Rfam by way of RNAcentral
AUGCAAGUCGAUUGGUAAGUGGUGUUUCCAUAGGCGCAUGAGUGAGUAACGCACAAGAACUUACCUUUGGGAUGGAACAACAAGUGGAAACGGUUGUUCCAUAGCCCAUGGACCGAGGACCAAAAGAAGAAAUCAGCCCAGGCAACUGAGGCAAGGCUUACAUUAAUUAGCUAGUUGGUGAAGCAAUAGUUACCUUGACAAUGAUUAGUACUAGCUGGUCGAAGAGGAUGAUCAACCACACUGGAAUUAAGACACGACCCAGACUCCUAUGGGACAUGGGA